RNAcentral lists this ribosomal RNA (499 nucleotides) under uncultured bacterium. RNAcentral's name for it is "bacterial SSU rRNA". It matches the Rfam family "Bacterial small subunit ribosomal RNA", at positions 28 to 455 of the family's 1533-position model. The record is from RNAcentral.
GAUGAACGCUGGCGGCGUGCCUAAAACAUGCAAGUCGAGCGGUAAGGCUCUGCACUUAGUGUUUGAUCGAAGUAAUUUAUUACUACAGUAGACCAAUUGGAACCUUGGCGGGUGAAGAGCGGAAUAGGAAGAUCGAAUUAUAAGUGUAGAGUACACGAGCGGCGGACGGGUGAGUAACACGUGGGAAUCUACCCCAAAACUGAGGGAUAAGCACCGGAAACGGUGUCUAAUACCGCAUAUGGUCUUCGGAUUAAAGCUUCGGCGGUUUGGGAAGAGCCCGCGUAAGAUUAGCUAGUUGGUGAGGUAAAGGCUCACCAAGGCGACGAUCUUUAGCUGGUUUGAGAGGAUGAUCAGCCACACUGGAACUGAGACACGGUCCAGACUCCUACGGGAGGCAGCAGUUAGGAAUUUUCACAAUGGCGCAAGCCUGAUGGAGCAACGCCGCGUGCAGGAUGAAGGUUUCGGAUUGUAAACUGCUUUUAUGUGUGAAGAAUAUGAC